RNAcentral lists this ribosomal RNA (447 nucleotides) under uncultured bacterium. RNAcentral describes it as "partial 16S ribosomal RNA". It matches the Rfam family "Bacterial small subunit ribosomal RNA", at positions 29 to 507 of the family's 1533-position model. The record is from RNAcentral.
AACGAACGCUGGCGGCAUGCCUAACACAUGCAAGUCGAACGAUGCCUUCGGGCAUAGUGGCGCAAGGGUGCGUAACGCGUGGGAAUCUGCCCUUGGCUUCGGAAUAACAGUUAGAAAUGACUGCUAAUACCGGAUGAUGUCCCCCUGAGAGAUCUUGGGGACCAAAGAUUUAUCGGCCAGGGAUGAGCCCGCGUAGGAUUAGGUAGUUGGUGGGGUAAAGGCCUACCAAGCCGACGAUCCUUAGCUGGUCUGAGAGGAUGAUCAGCCACACUGGGACUGAGACACGGCCCAGACUCCUACGGGAGGCAGCAGUGGGGAAUAUUGGACAAUGGGGGGAACCCUGAUCCAGCAAUGCCGCGUGAGUGAUGAAGGCCUUAGGGUUGUAAAGCUCUUUUACCAGGGAUGAUAAUGACAGUACCUGGAGAAUAAGCUCCGGCUAACUCCGUG